AAGCUCUUUCCAGGUUAGAGCUCUCUGAUUCUCUGGCUCUCUUAUCCAGCCAGACAAACUAAGACUGGUAAGAACACGGAGCACCUUGUAAGAGUAUCUGCUUUGACAUCUGAUUUUGUGAUUAUAGAAAUGAGUUUUCAAAUCCAUCCUCUUUAGAAACAGAUAUUGAAAUUUGGAGCAGAAGGAACCCAGAGAUUGUCUAGUCUGGAGCUUUUAUUUUACAGGAAGUUGGCUUGAGCGGACUGAUCACAGGGAAUUAUGGGAUGAAACAAAAUGCAGAAAGAAAACCCGGAUUUGAGGGCCAAUCAAAUGGCACCCAGAAUGGGGUAAAGCCAAUCAGAAUUAAGGCAAAAUAAAAUGCUGCAGAAAAUCAGGCACAAGGGGCCAACCAAUCAAUGUAAAGGGCAAGCGUGUGGACAAGUCAUGAACCCAGG
This is a non-coding RNA of Microcebus murinus (gray mouse lemur), 434 nucleotides long. The record is from RefSeq and is a predicted model, not a curated record. NCBI's taxonomy places the organism in Eukaryota, Metazoa, Chordata, Mammalia, Primates, Cheirogaleidae.